This 652-nucleotide long non-coding RNA is filed under the name Anser brachyrhynchus (Pink-footed goose). Its description in RNAcentral is "lncRNA (ENSABRG00000020584.1)". Lineage: Eukaryota; Metazoa; Chordata; Aves; Anseriformes; Anatidae. The record is from RNAcentral.
CACGACCACCAUUUUUUUUUGAAACGGCCGUUAACGGCCUGUGGGCACGCGCCCCCCUCAGGGGCUUCUCCACAGGGAAUGUCGAGGCUCCGAGCUCCCUGAAACCACAAGGAAAAGCCCAAGGCUCCCCUUAGUUCCUGGCGGUGAAAAUGUGGAAUGGCUGUACUACAGUCUCAAGACUGUUUUGAAUUGUCCUGAAUGAGCUAGUCAGCAGAGUAAAAGCGAAGUCCUCUUUGGCUGCAGAAAAGAAAAGAAGUGAAGGCCCACUUCCUCUGGAUGGGAAGACAGAUGAUCAAGUGACAUCUGCACUAAGUCUAGCAGUUCUCACUCAGAGGAUUCUGUUGGUGCCUUAUCCGUCCUGGAUGAUGUAAAGAUUCUACAGAGAGUGCUAAGAACUUCAAGCAGGUAAGUGAUUCUGAGAAUGUGUGUCAGCCAGUGAAACUUGGACAAGCAUGUGUAUUUGGGAAGUUGUAGGGGCGGCUGCUGAACUACAGAGGCAAUUAGUCUGACCAGCUACGCAGAUCUCAGCAUCUUGGAGGUAAGCUGAGGAGAAGCUUCUACUUGUGAUUUCGCAGGCUUUGUGUACUAACCCACAGCAAAUAGGAAACAUGUAAUGCGUGCUUUCUAUAGUGUCUAUUUGCCUAUAACCUUU